This 14920-nucleotide long non-coding RNA is filed under the name Musa acuminata (dwarf banana). RNAcentral's name for it is "long non-coding RNA (MACU_LNC001029)". Lineage: Eukaryota; Viridiplantae; Streptophyta; Magnoliopsida; Zingiberales; Musaceae. The record is from RNAcentral.
ACAUUUUUUGUGUUCUCACUGGAUGCAGAGAAAUGAAAAAUAAAGAAAAUUAGAUCAGAAGAUCUUGCAAACAAGCAAAUUGAGACAUUCAACUAAGUUUUUCUGCUUAUAUGUGCUUAAUCAUUUAUCUAGGUGUCAAUUAUUAUCUCCACGUAAAAGUAGGAAACAACCAAAGAGCAAUUUUUGACUGGCAAAGACAUCAGGUCAUUCACAUUAGCAAACAGUUAAAGAAAAAUAAUUUAGUAACACCUGGAGACCUCAACACAUAAAACCUUAAAUUCGUAUGUCAAUGCAGAACCACAAGAGUUUGUGUUUAUGGAUUUUAAGCUUCAUGAAGUAGAAGAGACAUUCUAAUGCAACCAGACAAACAAGUACAUAUGACUUGAAAAAUGGCAUUCUUGGUUAGUAUGAGAUCACGUGUUCAAAGAGCCAUCCAAAAGUGUAAGAGAUCUCAAAGUUGAAUCAGGAAAAGUGCAGCUUUUGCUUUCUACUUUUUGUAAAAGCAUCUUAGAGAAAAGUGGCAAAGAGAAGGUAACUCAAUGAUAAUCAGGGAACUGAAAAGGCACAACAAAAAAAUGAGGAUCAGGCUCAGCUACAAAUCCAACCAGAGGAAAAAGAACAUGUAAUGAGUGAACACUAUCCAAUCAUAAAAUUAAGAUGAAGCCCUUUCAAGUUGCAAAUAUCUCCUACCAUGGAUAAUUGCAUUGGUAUGCCAGUAUAAACAGGACCAAUCAAGGACCACUAUGUGCCUAGUAUCCGAGACUUUGAACCAUGUGUGACACUUUAUUGGGUCUACUCGCUACCAAACUGUCACAGGCUUAGUUGGUUUUACCUAAGUUAUGUGGCACCCUUGCAUGUCCAUCUGGAAAGCGUCAACUUCCUCGUAACACAAGGCCCCUAAGGAUCGGGUCAGUGGAAGCGUUAACUCGGGAUCCCACAAAUAAAGAUUUCAACAAACACUUAAUAGGUAAUGCAAAAUAGAAAGGACUUUGCAUGCUCUAAGCGGUCACGCAACAAAGGUCCAAGACAAUCUGUCGUGCACAGAAGUCUCUAUGAACAAAUGUCCAUAUGACAUUAUUACAGUAACCAUACGACGAACCAACCCAAGAUGCUAUCCCAAAACCCCAUCAAGUCAUGUGCCACCAAGGGCAUUCUAUGGGUGUGAGAUGGUUAAUGUUUUGAGGCCCACCUCCGCUCUUAGAAAUUCGAAUGGAGGCACCGUUUUUUGGCAGUUUUGCAUCCAAAGUAGAAACAACCAUAAAACCCAACCAAAAUGGGGCUACCAAGUCUACUACAAACCCCUACAUUCUGCCGAAGGUAUUAACAAAACAAAAAAGCAUGGGCAUUAUAUCGAACACCUUCCCUACGAACUGUGACAUUCUUCCCACUUAUUCCUUCAACGUCUUUGUUGAAGCCUUAGCAAACAUUGUAUCUUCUCGCCUUUGUUCAAUCUUCAAUCCUUUGCUUUAAUUGCAAUGCACCUCGUGACCCCCAACUACUCUCUCAAUAAUGCUACUGAGAAGUCGAGCUUUGAUCUGUUAACACUACUUUAACUCGCCAGUGACUCUGACUCUGGUAUAAGACCAAUCAAGUUGUACUAAUCCUCGUUGGUACUUACUGAUCCUUCAAAUGAAGGAAAAGACCUUACUUGUUGCGUGUCAUUCCCUCAAACAUCUUGCGUCGAUUGAACUGGAUGGAUACUUGUUGAAGCUUUAAUGAGCAUCACGUCAUAGAAUUUGAAGUUUUGAGGCCUUCCGUUGUAAAAUUUGUCAUUGAUUCCUAUUCUGCUUUGUCAUCGCCUCUAAGCACGUCUGUAUCUCCAUCGCUUUCGAGGGACAAGCUACCUUUGGUAGUACCAAUCACCAUUGGUGAUGACAAACAACUUUUGGUUGUCACUAUCUCUUUGAAGGGCCUUUGAAAGUGUGCAGAGCUCCUUUACUAGAUAAUUACGAGAAUUAUAAUACUUGGUUUUGGCUAUUCUCUCAAAAGUUAAGAAGGUAUAUGUUAUCUAACUUCGUCGGCCUCCUCGAUGGUUGUUAUUCAUGCAUCAAGCUAUGUACUAGUCUUUACCUGCUCUUUGUUCAUACUUUUGAAGCACUCGAAAUGUUGCACUCCUUGUGCUGAGUUAUCUACUACAAUUCGCCUUCUCAUUGCCAUUGAACCUUGGGAAUGCAGAAAGUAUUUCUCAAAAAGAGCAAUUUCACCUCGAUUGGAGUAAAAUUUCACCUCGGCUGGAGUAAGUAUUAUUGGUUUUGGUCGUCCCUGGCACUGUACCAACUUCAUUGAUUUCAUCGCCUAUUCCUCUGAGCAGAAAGGGUACAAAAUUGCAUGUUGCCUACUUAGUUCCUUGGUCGAGCACCACUACAUCAACACAAAAUCCCCCACUUUCGAUUAUCUUGAUGAGAAGCCCUUCGACAUUGAUCUUACGAAGUUCCUUAACCACUAUCCUUUUACCUUAUCUUGGUACUUGGAGUUUGUCACUAUAUCCUCCCAUCGACACAAAAUCCUCCCCUCCGUCCUUCCUCCUCUUCUCAUUGUUCUCCUUAUCCUCCCAUCUGUGCUCCCUCCUUUUCUUUAAUCAAAGUGGUAUACAUAUGUAUUUCGUACCAAGAGUCAAUACAUCGCUCAGUACCAAAACCAUACCCGUCCAAUCAUAAACCGAUAUCGGCACCAGACCAAGAUUUAAAGCCUUGUAAUCUGAUCUACUUAGAGUACUUCUAGUUAUAAUAUUUAACUUUGUUUGUGCGUUUCAGAUGAGUAUGACUACAGCACAAGUGAUAAGGGACCAUUUGGUCGAUCGGCCAUUGGUGCAGCCCAUAGGCUCGCGAGGAAUUGUCUGCUUUGGGCGAUGGACGUAUCCACACGGUUUUGUCCUUUCGGAACAUGUGAGCUCUAAAAGGCGCCUCUGAGGGUAAGGGAGACCUAGCGGACUUAUGAGCCCUUGGUUCUCAUACUCCUCAACCAAUGUGGGACUAAAUGGCCUUAUCAGUGCUCCCUCCCGUAGGGGAGCCAAGGGCUCAUAACCAAGGUACACGGCUCGGGAGCGAGUUUGCUCGGCCGAGGUGCAAGCCUCGGGCCCUCCUUCUAGCGCCAAUCUACUAAGGGACCAUUUGGUCGGUCGACCAUUGGUGCGGCCCGUAGGCUCGCAAGGAAUUGUCUGCUUUGGGCGAUGGGCGUAUCCGCACAGUUUUGUCUUUUCGGAACAUGUGAGCUCUAAAAGGCACCUUUGAGGGUAAGGGAGACCUGGCGGACUUAUGAACACUUGGUUCCCAUACUCCUCAACCAAUGUGGGACUAAAUGACCUUAUCAAUAAGCUAAAAUUCAACACCUUUAGAGAUCCUUACAUAUCCAUCAGAAUCUUAAUGUUGCUCUUAGAUAUGGAAGCUUAAGAUGCAACCAAAUAAUCCCUUCAGGUUCAAUAACCAAUUUAAAUCAAAAGUUUCAGUUCUAGUAUUUUCUGACUACCAAGUAUGCUUUUAGGCUAACUUGCAAGGAAUUCAAUAUGCCGUCGAUCCUAAGGUCUUUAAACCAAAGUUUGCAAUAUCAUCCAGUAUUGUAUGGGUGGUAUUUACCAGUCCAAUAGCCUAAUGGCAAGCGGACUAGGGUAAACCGGACGAUAUACGCAAUAGAGGGCAUAUACCACCCAAUUCAAGAUGGUAUAGGUCUUGUACUGGGCAUUUUUUUAAUGUUUUUUCAUAUUCUUUUCAAUCUUUUCGCAAAACUCAAUACGAACAAGUGUAUCAACACUCAGUACAUAGGUACAGACUGGUAUAAUGUUGGUCCAAGCCUUGACUUGCAUAGUAUUGAUACAUGAAAUUCUGAACCUGGCUUUGAACUAUAAGUUUCUUCAAAAGUUUAUUCAUGUUCCAAAUUCACUAAUAUACCAAUAACAUCAGCCAAAAGCAUGAAAAAGAAAAUCUUAUUUGAAUAUCACUAGACCUUAAAUUGCCUACUUUAUUGCUUGCACAUGUUUCAAUCCUGUCAACCUACUUACUAGAUUCUCCACUCUUCUCCAAAUUUCCACCAUAUCAUUUCCAUAUUUCUUUUAGCUGAUCCUUAUCGUUAUCAACAGAAGUCAUUUAUAAUAUAUUUUUCUUCAUUUCAAGCUUUUCACCACAUUUUUCCUUAAUAAAAUAAUAUUAUAACAAAAUACCAAAGUUACCAAUAUGCUUUGCAAUGAUAUUGCUAUAACAAAAUAUCCCUCCUACCCACUACCCACCCACCCCCCCCCCCCCCCAAAUAGGCACAAUGAUAGGAAACACCUUUGUAAAGAAAAUAUACUAGACAGAUCUAAAGCUAAAAUAGGAAAAAGAGAUACGAAGGUGACCAUAAUUAGGAUAGCCAUGGAAUAUAAAAAAGGUGCAACACUAAAUAUCUGCCUCUGGUAAUCAGUAGCAGAACAUGUGCAGCUUGAUAGCUGGUCAAAAGAAUAUAAAAGAUGAGCAAUUUCACAAAAAUUUCUCACCUUAAAUAGUAUGGAAACCUUUCAAAUGAAACUUGGAUAUCACCUGAAUCAAGUAUUCCAUGUUUCAAGCCAUCUUUAAAGGCUUGGCAUCUGGUAGUGGGCAAGGAAGCUGGUAAGUCUACAUCCUUGAGGAGUUCCCUUUGAUCCUCAAUCACUUUAAAUACAUUGCCAGUCAAAUCCAUCUCAGAAGAAGGUGAUCCUGCAAAUGUUCUUAUACCUGACCUUAUUUCAUAAUUAAUACUAGAAUUUUUUCCGAUGUCAUCAUCAAGAUGAGCAUGGGGACCAAUAUUAUCGUGUUGAAUGGUCUCAUUUGCACCAAGAUCAGAAGAUGUGACAGCAUCAGUAUUAUCACUUGGAACCACAGCUCCCCCAUCAUUUUCAAAAGUUUCCUUCAAUAUAUCAGAACCCUUCUCAAGGUCUGGACUGCAGUCUUCUGAUGCAUCACAAACAGAAGCCAAAACAGGCUUUUCUAGGCCUUCCUGAGCAUUCUCAGCAUUAGAUGCUGGUGGAAUAGCAGACAGAUCCUUCAUAUUAUUAGAUAGGGAUGCCAAUAUUGACGCUCCAGCAACAGCUGAAGAAUCUCCAGAUCUGGUCUCAAUUUGAAUCUCUUUGGCAGAAAAACCCUUUAAUUCUGAAAUGUCAAGUGAAGACUGCAACAUUGCUGUAGCUGAUUUUUCAUUCUUCAGUUGCUGAUAUAUCUGCCAACAGAUAAGGAAUUGCCUUCCAAGAGAAUUUAGAAAAAAGAAGAAUUUGCAAUUUGCAUCUAGAAUCAAGCAACAAGUUAUAAAAGGAUACAUAAGCAUGUUUCCCAGAUGGACUAAAUAUCACCUCGUCCCCGGCAGUGAUAACAAUAUUUGAAUUUCUCUCAAAGGUCUUGCCAUUUACUUGUACAAAUCCUUUUCUUCCUACAACUUCAAGCAAUGCACCUGAUGCACCUCCACGCUGAUGUGAUAGUAAUAAUAAAAGUGACACUUCGUGCAUAAGUCAUUUCCAAUGAACAUUUCCAUUCAAAUAAUCAAUUUAUCAAUUCAAUAAUACAUUUGCUAAGAUCAUACCUGGGUAUGUCUCAGUCUACAAAGAGUUUUGCUGACAGAUGGAUCCUUCAUGCACAAAUUACAGCUCGGGCUUUGGCCAACAGAGAAUCGAGAACCAGAGAGAAAAAUAUGAGGGUACUGGACAGAGCAAAUCAACAGGAGUUAGAUAACAGUCUAGAAUGACCAUAUGUGUCAAGCAAGAAGGCAAGCAAACUGAACCUAACAGAAGAAAAGAGAGAAAGUUCCACCACCCACAGUCUUUCAUCGAUUGUUUAAUAAUGCAUCUAAACACUCACACAGAAACUAGAUGCUGUACAAUGCCCGGAAGCUGUUCAAGUAUACUCACCUCUAAUAUUCAUGCAACAUUAUAUAUGGGUAAUGAAUAAGGGUGAAAAUAAAUUAAGUGCAGAUGUCAUAUUAUAAAAUUAUAUCCAAAUUUAUUUGUGUUCAGCAAAUACAAAUUCAGAUAUGAAUAUUAGUUGGAUACUAAAUUUUUGAACCUUGUUUGUUUAAAACAAAUAGAAAUAUAAAUUGAAUGGACAAAGAUAAGUAUUUGACUUGUAAGGCUGACAUUAAUUACAAUAUUGUGUGUGAAUCAAGUAUGUGACGAAUAAAAAAUAAGGUACAAGUCAGAUCUAUCAAUAGGAAGAUCUACAAAUGCGAUUUAUAAAAGAAUGACAAAAUGAGAACAUUGUAUACUUAAAAACAAUCAAAUAACAUGUUUCAUUAUGUUAAUCUAGUAUUUAUCAAAUAUUCAAAUAAAGGCUUCAAAUACAAGUCAAACCGGUACAUACUGACCAGCAUUUACCAAUCUGACCAAGGACCAAUAGUAGAACAUAUAGCUCAAAACUAAUGGGUUCGCAUUUUUAUUAUUUUCAGUGAUACAGGGUAUUAUAAAUUAUUCUACCAUCCUAUACACCAAUGUCAUACUAGUUUGACAAGGUGUUGAAACUGGUAUUGGACCCAGAUUUUACACCUUAGAUAAAGCAGAGCCAAAAAACAGAAGUUCCUUUUGGCCUCCAUAACAAUAAGUCAAGGGCCGGCAAGAUACCAUAGUGCUAGUACAAGUGCAAGCAAGCACAAAAGCCACUUCUAACAUCAGCACACGAGGUAAAAUUAUCCUCAAACCAGUGUAUUACAACCCAAAGCAUCUGGACAAAAGAUACUUCUUUUCAUCUAAGCUUUACGGGAACAAAUAUCUCAAACUUAAUAAGAAAUUAAACUCCAUGGAACAAUAUGCCCUAGGCUUAUUAAAAAUUCUUAAAGACUACGAACGCAAAUACCCAAUUAAAGCCAAAUAGUGAGAUUAUGAAAGUCAAAAGAACCAAGGCUAAGGUAGAGGAUAAAAGUAAAAAGAUGCAAAUCUUUUACAACUGACAGCCCUUGAGCAUAGAUUCAAUAAAAGUGCAAAAAUAUCCUAGAACUUAUAGGCACAAACACACCCUAUGAAAAAACCUCCAAAACACAACACAAAAUGCUCUAAGUUUAGCCAUUAGUAAAUGCAAAUAGAUAGAGAGAUUUUUACAUACAAAGGAUUUACAGGCAAAAUAGACCAAGAGUAAGAGGCUAAGCCCGAAAAGGAAUCUGAACCUCUAUAAGAAAGUCCUUCAAAAACUCAGAACUAGGUCUAUGUUUAGCUCCUUCAACAUAUAAAUCAGAUCUGGGUUCAACCAUUUAAACAAAGGCGAAACAAAUGUUUCCUACUCCACUUGACAAGCAACAAGUGGUACCUCUGUUGACCCAAAAUCAGGCACUAGGUUUAGCCUCUAGAUCUCUGCCAAGGUUUUUAAAUCAAUCCUCACCUUCCAAGGGCAUUACAAUAGGUUGUCUAUUCAACUAGCUCAAGAACCAAAUAGGUCAUUCUAUUUUAUUAACAGGAUCCAUCUCCAUGACCCUAAGCUAGGAAAACCAUCAUCAAGUCACUAUCUGGAAAAAUAAACUUUCUCAUUUUUAAAUCCUUUUGUUUUAAUCAGCAAACAAGAAAAGAUGAGUUUCCACUCCAAUUAAAUAAAAAAAUGGUCUUCGAAUUGUUAAACUAGAAAAUAUGAGUCCCAAACACCAUUAACUAGAUAGAUAGACUCCUAAAACUAUUAUAAACAAAAUGAGACUUUACUUGAUACAACCAAUUAAAAGAGCCUACCCCCCUGACUAUUUAUAUAUGAUAACAUGGAACAUUUUUUUAGAGUACAACCAAUUAAAAGAGCCUACCCCCCUGACUAUUUAUAUUUGAUAACAUGGAACAUUUUUUAGAGAGAAUAAAGGACCUCCGAAUCACCAAAAUCGGUAAGGUAUAACAUCUACAACAACAAUAAGUCAUGAUGUCCAACUAUUUGGGUUUAGCUGCAUAGAUCUUCACCCACCAUUGAGCUUUGUAUACGGCAAUGCCCCUCGUUAAGCUCUGAGCAAUCAGAUAUCUUUCCACUGCAUCUAUUAGUUUCUAUUUAGAUCUUCUUAACCCUCCAGAUACUACUCAUUGUGAUUGGCAAACCAUCCACAAAGAAGAUAGCAAUACAAGAUAGCACUGAUGUGCCAACUGCCAACGGUGGCUCAGAUUUCAAAUGCUUAAUUCAAAAUCAGACAAGAUAGAUACAUGUCCAUGACCAAGGCAUGGAUAGAACCUAUGAGAAAGAAAUAAAGCCAAAGUUCAUACUAUUCAACUUGAUCCUUUGGUCUCUAUUUAACGCAUAAUCCUUUUCACAAUCACUACAAGAAAUCCUAAUCUUGUUACUCAGGAGCCCCAUCCAGCCCAUAACAGGCUAGUUUUGCCCACACGGUGGCACGACGGAUGAGCAGAGAUGCCUAGAUCAUAUGCUUAUUAGCGGUUAUGUCCACCAUAUGCAAUAUGUCCACACUCAAAAACCAAAUAGGAUAAAAUGCUAGCAAGUAUGUCGGAAAAAUAGGUUUUUAUUUGCUUUGAAUUUGUCAUAGUGCCACAAAGAGAAAGAAGGGACCUUGACCAUAUGAGAAAUGCUUCGUACCAUAACUUAAAUCACAACAAGAGGCACCGAAUCAAAAGGCAGCACACAUCCAAAAGUGCACCAUCACAGCCCUGUGCCCCUCUCACCCUCAUGAUGUUCCCCCACAGCCACGUUCGUGCCAUGAAACCGUAAGCCGCAACAUGAAGCGGCGUUCAUAUGAAGGACUAACCUUUUUAACGAUUAUAUUCCAAUGCAUGUCAUUACCUUUCAGAUAUCAGAUGAAGCAUACUAUCAGCAUCAUGUCAUGUUUCUUACUGGAUAUACCUCUCAAGCUUGUAAGAAGAGGGAGAGAAGAUCAAACCAGAGCUAACAGCGAGUUAGCGGUUUGUUCCGAUGACGCGAUAGAAAAAAAAAAAUAGAUGAUGAAAUCUAUCCAAAACAUAAAGACUUGAAGACAGUAAAUCCAACCUGAGAGUGCUGUGAUAUAAGCUUCGCCCAUGCGGUCUUCUGCUUGGCUUUCACGACUCGCUUCGCUGGGACUUCCAAUUUUCUCCUCUCCACCUUAACCGCUCGCUCUUCAAUAGAAACAAAAAGAAAAGGGGGAAAACAAUUUAAAAAAAAAAAAGGAAAAGAGAUGAAUGCAAGAUCAAGAUCAGACUUUGAGCGGGCAAUUGGACCGGGGAGCCCUGCCCAGGCGCAUCAACGGGCUUCUCAUCCUGCACAUCGGCAUCACCGGCCUCCGCAGGGAGGUUGGCGGCUGGCUGAUCGUCGGCUGCCGGCGUCUCUUCCUCCUUGGGGACAGGCCGCUGCCCCUUUGACGACGAGGUGGGCUCCUCCUGAAGGUAACCAUGGAUUUCCACGAGAAGUCGUGUCAAAACCACGCAUCGGAAGAAAAGAUGCGAGCCAAGAUCCAAAAUAUAAAGCAGUGGAGGGGAGAAAGAUCGCACCUUAGGCCGCUUCGAGGCCGGUUGACACGCAGAGGAGGAGGAAGACAGGAGGCGCUUCGAGGAGGCCGAGCUCCGCCUAGUCUCGACCAUGGCUUCCUCUUUCGAGAGUCGAGAGUCGAGAGAGAGGAGAGGGAGAAGGGGAAAAGAAAGGUUGGGUCGCCCAAAUAGCAGUUUGUGUUCUUGUAAUUAUUGCAUAAAGAAAUAUGAAUUGUAGGGUUUCACUUAUCCCCUUCCAAGUAAAAAAUUUUCCCUUGUUUUUUUUUCUGAAAUGAUUACUUGAGAUCGAAGAAAAUAUAUCUUUUUUUGUCUGUCUUUCUUAUGGUACACUUUUAACUCGUGAAUUUUAAUAUAAAAAAUAAAUUUAAACAUAUAUAAUAAUAAUAAUAAUAAUAAUAAAUUGCUUUCUCACGAAAAGUUGAAAGGCCUCAUUAUGAUGAUAUGAUGAGAAGACAGCUUGAUGUUGCCUCCAUAUAGAUUCAAUCCGAGUCAUGAUUCUUAAUUCAUAUGAAACAAACAAGAAAAGAAAAACUAUCUGAUUACGAUCAUGAUUCUUUUUCUAUAUCAAAAAUAAGAAGAUAUAUAUCCUCAAAAUUGUGGAGUAUGUGAUCCUUUUGAUCGUGAAGACCGAGUGAUGGUCCGUUGACUCCGACGAGACCAUGACUUCACUCCAACACCACAGAAUGUCGCACGUCUUCUUCUGCCAAAUAAGAACACAUGAAGGUUGACUUUUGUACUCGCUAAUGAAAGGAAACGAUGUAGGAAACAUACAUUUCGGUAUAUAAAGUUAUCCGUCCAAAAAUUUCUUUGCCGACCGCUCUCCCUCACAAUUUUCCAAAUGUUGUCACAAUUUUAUUGCGACCACAAUAUUUAGAUAAUUCUAGAUAAAUUUAACCCAUUCUAGAUGAAGACUUCUACAGUGAUAAACGUGGACAAUAAAAGAUAUAUCCAUCAAGAAAUCUCGAUUGGAUUUAAUCGUAAUGACUUUUUCAAGCGAUUUUUCUUUCGUCAUUAAUCGAACCCUCUCUUGUGUUAAAAUCGAUGGACUUCCCAUGAUCAAAUACUUAUCUCGUCGAUGAAAAGGGUGGAUGUGAAUUUGUUCUCUCCUGCACACCAAGAAAACCUUAGACAUUUGGUUUAGUUGGUCAAUCUCUUCGUAGAUCUUUAUCGUUAGAGGUCUUUAAAUCCUCUAUAAAUCGUUUUCUAUUAUGCUAGAUUUAGUGAAUAAUUUUUGUUUUUGUUUUUGUUUGGAAGAUGAUGCUCUCAAGGUUUUAACAUAUGGCCCAUGAUUGAUAGGGGGAAACCCUGCAUCUAUUUUAUUUUUCUUAAAAACCUAAUUUUCAAGAAAAAUUAUGAAUUAUUUGGAUUCUAACUCCUUAAUAUUUCACUCUUUAUUUGCAGUAUUGGAACUUCAAAUUUAUUUUUAUAAUAGGAUCAUUAAUCGAUCAACCUUUGUGUCUUAACAAAUCCUUAACUUUUGAGAUGGAUCAUUUUAUUCUACUAUGUAUUGAAAUCGAUCUUUCUAAACCCUUAAAAUAGGAUAUCCGGAUUCGAAAACGUAAAGAAGAAUUUUUUUUAUAUUAUUUCAUAUGAAAAUCUUUCUUCUAUUUGCUUUACCUGUUGAAAAUUUUCCUAUGAAAAUCCUCCAACUAUGGAACCAAUAUGUGUAUAGUAAUUACCUUUUAUAAUAGGAUGGCUAAACGCCAAGUAAUGUAAAAGUAGAUGAUGCGAACGAUACUUAGUUUAUAGUCUAUGGAUUCGAGUUCAGAUAAAAAUAAUAAUUCGAUGAUCAAAAAUAAAUAUUUCUAAGCGAUUAUCACCGAAGAAUAUCACUAAUAACUCACCUACGUGUCAUUUUCAUGUACAAAUACCAAAUUUUUUUAUAUAGAUAUCAUCAGUCCCACAGUCUUAGCUAUAUUUUAUUUCAUUAAUAUGUCUUUUACUUUAUUAGCUUUAAUUUAUGAAUAAAUCUAUAAUUAUUAAAUAUAUCACUAUUUUUUAUCAUUAAAUCUAAGUUCUAAGUUCUAUGUGAAAUAUUUAAUAAAUAAUUUAUAAAAAAAAUUAUCUUUCAUUAAUCUCAUUAUCAUUAACAAGUAUUAUUUGUUCUUCAUCUUUAAUGCAUUUUACACUUUUUUUCGCUACAUUUAGCAUCAUGGUACAUAUCUUUUUCAUCAUCUUUAAUACAUAAUAUAUUAUAAAAAUUAUCAUAAGUUUUAUAUCUUAUGACUGUUCUUUUACACUCUUUUUUAGAUAUUUUAUAUUUUAUAUUUUUUUCUUAUUUUUUAUAAUUUUGUCAAACUUUAAAACAUCAUCUUUUAGUAAAAAAUAUACUAAUAUCUUUAUGUUAUACUUAUAUCUUUAGUCUCAUCAAGAAUCUCCUUAUUAGACUCCUAAUCUUAUUAGCCAUAGUAAUCCAAAUAAUAUUCAUAUUAUUCUCAGUAGGUUCUAAGUCUUCUCACAUUUCAUCUAACUUUUAAAAUUAUUUACAUUAUUAUUUUUAAAACUUCAUCAUCUAGCCUUAGUAAUUUUUUUCUACUAUUUUUUUCUUCCAUUUUCUAUAGUAAAUAUCUAAUAUUAUCAACCUAUAUUGAUUAAUUAAACUUCGUAUAACUUAACCAUUCUUAUAAAUAUAUUUAUCUACUUUUUUAGUGAGAAAAAAACAUAUUUGACUACAGAUGUGCCAACUCUUAUAAAUAAUCAAAUGUUCAUAUAUCUUCUUAAAAUAUAUAUAUUUACAAUUAUAAGAUUAUACAAAAUUAUAAAAUCUAAAAUCACACCAUCAUCUUCAUUUUUCUCCAUAGACACCUCUUUAUAUUCACCGUAUUUUUUUAAGAUAUGAUGAUUCAAAUCUCCUAUAAUUAUAAGUUUUUUAAUUAUAGAUUUUUUUAAAUAAUAUUGUCUAAGCAUUCUCGAAAUUUUCUUUUGGUUUGAUCAUUCAAUCUAACUUAAUGGUCAUAAACACUAAUUAUAUUUAAAAUAUCUUAUUGUUUCAUAAAUUUUAUAAUUAUAUUUCUAACUCUAAUUUUUUUACGGUAUUAUUCUUAAGAUUCUUAUCGAUAACAAUUCUUAUACCAUUUUUUAUGUUUAACUUUUUCAGUAUACUAAAUUUUAUUUUUCUUUCGAUGAUAGUGUUUACUGUUUUUAAUCUCUUUACCGUAAGUAUUCUUAUAUUCUAAGUUGCUAACCAACUCUUAUUUUUAGACUAACUUUUUUAUUCUUAUUAUUCCAAAAUAAUGAGAGAAUCCCUAGUCACCUUUUAAUCCAUCAUUUAUAAUUCAAGAUAUUUAGAUGAUAAUGAUAUAUAUAUAUAUAUAUAUAUAUAUUAUUAUGCAAUAUCUCACUCUUCCAAAUAUGACAUAUUUUCUCGGAUCAAUUACGAGAGCCAUUGCUGCUUCCAUGGUGGUGUUCCAACUAUUAACUUGAUGAGCUCAGGAUGAUGGCCUACAUCACACCUGUCGAUGACCAACUGAUGAUGAGCCAUUGGUGCAUCCAUGGUCUUCCAACUUACUGUGAUUUGCCGCAGACUGAUAGGUAAUUAAUUACUUACUGUGCCAAGUUGUGGGGGUUCUCUCAUCAGUAGGUAAUAAAUCCAUGAGUAGACGUUUAAAAAACAAUUAAAAAUAUUUUUAAUUAUUUAAAAUCUUGUGUAUAUAUAUAUAAAUUAAUUUUUCAUUAUGUUUUAAUUUUAAAAUUAAAAUUAAUUUUAAAUAGGGUGUUUGAGUGGAAAAGGUGAGGAUCUAUAUUUAGAAAAUUAUACACAUCUUUUUUCAUGGUUAUAGUGUGACACCUUCAUCAAAUUACUUUGAGCUUAUUCAAAAAUAUUAUAACUAAUAAAAAUAUUGGUUUCAAAUAAAAGGUUUGAUUUCGAAAUAAAAAACACACUAUAAACAGAUUUGAAUAGCUUUUUUAUUAUAUCAAUCAUAUAAAAACAGUUUUGGAAAGAAAAAUUAGACUGUCGUAUCAUUUUAGGGUUAUUAUGAGAUUUAUAAAAACUCUUGGAAAAUAUCUUACUAAUAAACCCAUAGUCCUUAGUUUGUGCUGUCACAACUUGGGCCGGAUUCAAUUCACCCAAAACGAUCCAAUCUAAUAAUAAACCCAUACUAAUAACCCAAUUUUCAUAACAUGUUGACUCCUAAGAUCCUACGAAUCCAUAGCCGAUGACACCCAUGCUAGUGCUUACAAUAGUUGACUGCUAUCCAUGCCACAUUUACAAAUCAUACCACAUUUACAAAUUUAUCAAAGAAAUAAAACUGUAAAUUAAAUCAUACCACAUUUACAAAUUUAUCAAAGAAAUAAAACUGUAAAUUAAAUCAUACCACAUUUACAAAUUUAUCAAAGAAAUAAACUAUAUUACUCACCAUUUCCACAAUUUAUAUGCAUAAAACAGAGACGCUUUGAUAACUAAACAAACAGAGAAGACACUUUAUUCAAUGCCAAACAAAAACCAGAUCGUCUCAAGUGUGCCAAAGCCAUAAGUUCAUACGUAGUCUCCAUCACGACACCAAGCCGCCGACCAGAGCCCAGAAACAAAAGUACCUUCUCCAAGCAUAGAUGAUAGAUCAGUGUGCGGCAGUAGCGACAUUGUCGCCGAAGACGCGUGCCAUCCUCUCCGUGGGGACGAGGGGGAGGUAGGCGGAGACGGCGUAGCCCUUCUCGGCGGAGGAGGAGACGGCUUGGUUGUACUUCUCGGAGAGGUGGGCAGCGGUGGGGACGACGACCUGGGCCACCUGGGGAACCAGUGGGAGGCGGUUCAGAGAGCGCCAGGCCGAGGCCGCGGCCUGCUCCGCUGCCGGCUCGUACUUGGCAUACAGCUCCUUGGCCGCCGGCUCGUACUUGGCGUAGACGGAGCGGACCAGGCCGGCGGCAGAUCCGACCAGUCCGGCCCGCUGGACCUCGCCCGCCGCGGACCGGGCCGCCGACGAGGCCUCCUUCACUACCGAUGGGACGCGACGAUCCAGCUCCUGCACGGUAACUUCAACCUGUUUCACGUGACCACCGCCGAUGAUUAGAGAGAACGGUUAGUUGCUUUGAUUUUACGCAAGAAAUAGAUGCGAAGGAAACUUUCGUCGGAGACCCCGAGCGAGGCUAACGUACGCCACCGGUCCCGGCUACGAUGCGCCGGAUGCCAGUGCUAUUCUGCUCCACCAUGGAUGAACGAAGCGGCCGACGGAGCCUGGAGGGUCCGGUCCCAUCCUGGGCACAGCCAGCGCCAUGGAAGCCAGCGGGAAGAAGGAAACGGGUCCAAUCCAUGGCAACGUGAACGACAUAAAGGAGAAGAAGAGGCUCCUGGAAGCCGCAAGAAAGGAGGAGGAGGAGAGAGAGAGAGAGAGAGAGGAUCCAAUCCUACGAUGCGCAGGUCGCCCGUGCUAUCCUGCGCCACCGAAGCGGACAACAGAGACCGGAGGGGUCAUCCCGAUACUGGGCUAACGUAGGCCGAUGGAGAGAAAGGAAAUCGAUACAACCUAUGGCAACGUCGUCGGGGGGACAAAGGAGAAGAAGAGGGACCUGGAAGCCGCAAAAGAAGAGAGAGAGAGGGCGUGGCCGGUGGAACGAACCUUU